GUCUACAUCCAUGCUACCUUGAACAAGCCCUAUCCCAUCUGAUCUCGGAAGCUAAGCAGGGUAGGCCUGGUUAGUACUUGGAUGGGAGACCACCUAGGAAGACCAGGCGCUGUAGGUG
Molecule: ribosomal RNA, 118 nt
Filed under: Pteropus alecto (black flying fox)
Lineage: Eukaryota; Metazoa; Chordata; Mammalia; Chiroptera; Pteropodidae
Source: RNAcentral